Molecule: ribosomal RNA, 697 nt
Filed under: uncultured Lachnospiraceae bacterium
Lineage: Bacteria; Bacillati; Bacillota; Clostridia; Lachnospirales; Lachnospiraceae
Description: bacterial SSU rRNA
Rfam family: Bacterial small subunit ribosomal RNA
Source: RNAcentral
CGGCGCGCCUAACACAUGCAAGUCGAACGGAGCUGUUUUCUCUGAAGUUUUCGGAUGGAAGAGAGUUCAGCUUAGUGGCGAACGGGUGAGUAACACGUGAGCAACCUGCCUUUCAGUGGGGGACAACAUUUGGAAACGAAUGCUAAUACCGCAUAAGACCACAGUGUCGCAUGGCACAGGGGUCAAAGGAUUUAUCCGCUGAAAGAUGGGCUCGCGUCCGAUUAGCUAGAUGGUGAGGUAACGGCCCACCAUGGCAACGAUCGGUAGCCGGACUGAGAGGUUGAACGGCCACAUUGGGACUGAGACACGGCCCAGACUCCUACGGGAGGCAGCAGUGGGGAAUAUUGCACAAUGGGGGAAACCCUGAUGCAGCGACGCCGCGUGGAGGAAGAAGGUCUUCGGAUUGUAAACUCCUGUCCCAGGGGACGAUAAUGACGGUACCCUGGGAGGAAGCACCGGCUAACUACGUGCCAGCAGCCGCGGUAAAACGUAGGGUGCAAGCGUUGUCCGGAAUUACUGGGUGUAAAGGGAGCGCAGGCGGAUUGGCAAGUUGGGAGUGAAAUCUAUGGGCUCAACCCAUAAAUUGCUUUCAAAACUGUCAGUCUUGAGUGGUGUAGAGGUAGGCGGGAUUCCCGGUGUAGCGGUGGAAUGCGUAGAUAUCGGGAGGAACACCAGUGGCGAAGGCGGCCUACUGGGC